GACGAACGCUGGCGGCGUGCUUAACACAUGCAAGUCGAACGGAAAGGCCCUGCUUUUGUGGGGUGCUCGAGUGGCGAACGGGUGAGUAACACGUGAGUAACCUGCCCUUGACUUGGGGAUAACUUCAGGAAACUGGGGCUAAUACCGGAUAGGAGCUCCUGCUGCAUGGUGGGGGUUGGAAAGUUUCGGAGGUUGGGGAUGGACUCGCGGCUUAUCAGCUUGUUGGUGGGGUAGUGGCUUACCAAGGCUUUGACGGGUAGCCGGCCUGGGAGGGUGAACGGCCACAUUGGGACUGAGAUACGGCCCAGACUCCUACGGGAGGCAGCAAUGGGGAAUAUUGCACAAUGGGCGGAAGCCUGAUGCAGCAACGCCGCGUGCGGGAUGACGGCCUUCGUGUUGUAAACCGCUUUCGCCUGUGACGAAGCGUGAGUGACGGUAAUGGGUAAAGAAGCACCGGCUAACUACGUG
Molecule: ribosomal RNA, 468 nt
Filed under: uncultured bacterium
Lineage: Bacteria
Description: partial 16S ribosomal RNA
Rfam family: Bacterial small subunit ribosomal RNA
Source: RNAcentral